Long non-coding RNA from Epinephelus moara (kelp grouper), 456 nucleotides. RefSeq lists it as uncharacterized. The transcript has 4 exons. NCBI's taxonomy places the organism in Eukaryota, Metazoa, Chordata, Actinopteri, Perciformes, Serranidae. The record is from RefSeq and is a predicted model, not a curated record.
GGUGAGGGACCCCUCCCUCUUCCCUCAGACCGAGAUCCGAAGGAGAAGAUGGCGGUUCACUCUUUCACUCACUGACUCCGUGAUUCUGUUUUCCAGCUACAAACUUGGACGACGACCAGAGUGACAUUGUUGCAGGUGACAUUUGCCAACAGUCUGCAGAACCACCAGGGUCACCAAACAGUGCUACUCCUGCAGGAUCUGAUGAUAUCUUCCAGUGCAGUGCACAGGAUCCUUUGCAGCAGUCAAAGAGUUAUUCUGCUCCAGAAGGACCUGAUGACAUUUCCCAGUCUAGAGCAGGGGGUCCUGUGCAGCCUGUCCAUAAGCUCUUCCCCAAGACGCAGCAUGCUAAAUGGAAAAGGGCAUUUAAUGACUCCUGGUACAGAGACUGUGUAAAUGUAAAAUUGAAAAUGAGUUUUACUGUCUACACUUUUUUUAAUUAAAGUGUUUGAAAAAGGU